UAAUAAUAAUAAUAAAAAAGAGGUGCCCCAAGAUGAACUCACGGCCCAGGAGCCAGAACACAUGCAACCCUAAGCUAACACCAGCGGCCUAAUGGAUGGCAGCAUGCCUGUACCCUUUUGCUCCGAUCCCCCGCAGGAGGAGAGAAAAAGCCAGUGUUCGGCCAACUCCAAGCGGAGCCCAGUAAAAGCCCCAACAAAUUGAGAGACUUAAAAAGUUGACAAAAAGAAGAGCAAUAAUUAUAACGGCUCAUUUUCCGCAUAAGAAGAACGCGAAAGUAUGUAAAACUAUAUCCCUUCCGCGCAAUUUGUAUGUACAAAUCAGCCAUCCAAAUUGUAGCUUUUUUUAAUAUGAAGUACACAUCAGCAUUCCAUGAAGUUGUUUUGUCAAAAUCAAGAGCAAGCCAAUUUAGACUGAAGACUUCUGCUAUACAUGGGACCAAGAAAAAUGGAAACCAAGGAGGUAAAAGUCAGCCAAAAAUUCAAGCAAUGGCUUUUCUUCAUUGAAUAUUAUUGUAUAAGCAAACUAGCACAUGCAUGCUUGAAAAUGGAGACAACAUUAAUGAAAUAGCUAAUGAUGCUUAGAGAUGCGGAUUUAAAGAUACCUUCGGCAAUAAAAGGAACCUUUCUUACCCAGAACGCGCCCUGUGCAACACUCAAAUUAUAUUUGGUUAAUAAUGAUGACAUUGUUUAACCUUUUAGACCAAAAACACCUGAAAUUUAAGCAACCUAAGAUUUUAGCCGACCUUUAUAAGGGCAAUAGCCACUGAAGUCCUAACACAUGCCCCACAAAUUCACCAUCAAUUAAAAACAAAAGUAGAAACGCAUCCAUUUCUCCACCUUCCUCAUAGAGAACCACCCACCCACUUUGGGGCGAGUGGUUGGCAUCAAAGAAAAUGAAUGACACCAUCCUCACCCGAAAAGGCCCCAUCAUCUUCUAUAAACUAAGAUCCACGUUUCCUACUGAAGCGGAAAAAAAAUCCACCCCCCCCCCCCAAAAAAACCCAUCACAGUCCCACAUUUGAUGAUCUUCCAAAUAAAGAUUGAAAGAAUCCAAAAAACAAUCCACUUAGCUAAUCAACAAUAUCCACAAGUGAGGUUCCACCACAUCAUGUGCUGUCCUUUCUCAAAUCCCUAAAAGAGACUCAAAUCAUUCACAAAGAGAGAAAAGUCUAAAAGCAAAGCAAUGUCUAUUAAACAUAACGUAAUGAUUAAGGCAACCAUUUGUAUGAAACCAAAAAAAACAAAGGUGUAGAAUUUAAUAUCUUUAAAAUUCAGUUUUACAUCAUCAAAGAAAGUAUAAUGGCUCCCCACUAUCUGAUCCCCACCCAUAACGCAUUCACAUCGGAACGCAUCAUCCAUUGAAGCUCUUGAAAGAUUUACCCUCCUCUCAACAUUUCUUAUAACAGUAAACAGAUCCAGAAAAUGGAAA
This 1429-nucleotide unclassified non-coding RNA is filed under the name Hevea brasiliensis (rubber tree). Lineage: Eukaryota; Viridiplantae; Streptophyta; Magnoliopsida; Malpighiales; Euphorbiaceae. The record is from RNAcentral.